Molecule: ribosomal RNA, 401 nt
Filed under: uncultured prokaryote
Description: bacterial SSU rRNA
Rfam family: Bacterial small subunit ribosomal RNA
Source: RNAcentral
UGGGGAAUCAUGGUCAAUGGGCGAAAGCCUGAUGCAGCAACGCCGCGUGAGCGAAGAAGGCCUUUGGGUCGUAAAGCUCUGUCCUUGGGGAAGAUAAUGACGGUACCCAUGGAGGAAGCCCCGGCUAACUACGUGCCAGCAGCCGCGGUAAUACGUAGGGGGCGAGCGUUAUCCGGAAUUAUUGGGCGUAAAGAGUGCGUAGGUGGUUCUUUAAGCGUGAGGUGAAAGGCAAUGGCUUAACUAUUGUAAGCCUUGCGAACUGGAGAACUUGAGUGCAGGAGAGGUAAGUGGAAUUCCUAGUGUAGCGGUGAAAUGCGUAGAUAUUAGGAGGAACACCAGUGGCGAAGGCGACUUACUGGACUGUAACUGACACUGAGGCACGAAAGCGUGGGGAGCAAACA